Molecule: ribosomal RNA, 446 nt
Filed under: uncultured organism
Description: partial 16S ribosomal RNA
Rfam family: Bacterial small subunit ribosomal RNA
Source: RNAcentral
CACUCCUACGGGAGGCAGCAGUGGGGAAUAUUGGACAAUGGGCGCAAGCCUGAUCCAGCCAUGCCGCGUGAGUGAUGAAGGCCCUAGGGUUGUAAAGCUCUUUCACCGGUGAAGAUAAUGACGGUAACCGGAGAAGAAGCCCCGGCUAACUUCGUGCCAGCAGCCGCGGUAAUACGAAGGGGGCUGGCGUUGUUCGGAUUUACUGGGCGUAAAGCGCACGUAGGCGGACUAUUAAGUCAGGGGUGAAAUCCCGGGGCUCAACCCCGGAACUGCCUUUGAUACUGGUAGUCUUGAGUUCGAGAGAGGUGAGUGGAAUUCCGAGUGUAGAGGUGAAAUUCGUAGAUAUUCGGAGGAACACCAGUGGCGAAGGCGGCUCACUGGCUCGAUACUGACGCUGAGGUGCGAAAGCGUGGGGAGCAAACAGGAUUACAAACCCCGGUAGUCCC